RNAcentral lists this ribosomal RNA (459 nucleotides) under Vibrionaceae bacterium 44(2010). RNAcentral describes it as "bacterial SSU rRNA". It matches the Rfam family "Bacterial small subunit ribosomal RNA", at positions 72 to 531 of the family's 1533-position model. Lineage: Bacteria; Pseudomonadati; Pseudomonadota; Gammaproteobacteria; Vibrionales; Vibrionaceae. The record is from RNAcentral.
GGGUCGAUAUCGGCGUCAAGCGGCGUAAGGUUGAGUCAUGCCUGUGAAAUUGCCCUGAUGUGGGGGAUAACCAUUGCAAACGAUGGCUAAUACCGCAUAAUAGCUUCGGCUCAAAGAGGGGGACCUUCGGGCCUCUCGCGUCAGGAUAUGCCCAGGUGGGAUUAGCUAGUUGGUGAGCUAAGGGCUCACCACGGCGACGAUCCCUAGCUGGUCUGAGAGGAUGCUCAGCCACACUGGAACUGAGACACGGUCCAGACUCCUACGGGAGGCAGCAGUGGGGAAUAUUGCACACUGGGCGCAAGCCUGCUGCAGCCUUGCAGCGUGUGUUAAGAAGGCCUAUCGAUUGUAAAGCACUUGCAGUCGUGAGGAAGAUAGACGGUUUAAUAGAGGCGUUAUUUGACGAUAGCGACAGAUGAAGCACCGGCUAACUCCGUGCCAGCAGCCGCGGGGCUACGGAGG